AUCGCUUCUCGGCCUUUUGGCUAAGAUCAAGUGUAGUACAAUAGCCAAGAUGUGGAGCAACCUCAGUCCACUGAAUGGAUAAAAAGAUAUGGUGUAUAUAUACAAUAGAAUAUUAUGCAGCCAUAUUAUUAUUAUUUAUAUACAUAUUACAAUGAGAUCACAUCAUCUGCGACAACAUGGAUAAACCUUU
This is a small nuclear RNA of Zalophus californianus (California sea lion), 190 nucleotides long. Its record names the gene U2. It matches the Rfam family "U2 spliceosomal RNA". From Rfam's summary of the family: U2 is a small nuclear RNA (snRNA) component of the spliceosome (involved in pre-mRNA splicing). Complementary binding between U2 snRNA (in an area lying towards the 5' end but 3' to hairpin I) and the branchpoint sequence (BPS) of the intron results the bulging out of an unpaired adenosine, on the BPS, which initiates a nucleophilic attack at the intronic 5' splice site, thus starting the first of two transesterification reactions that mediate splicing. The record is from Ensembl. NCBI's taxonomy places the organism in Eukaryota, Metazoa, Chordata, Mammalia, Carnivora, Otariidae.